GGACUACCCGGGUAUCUAAUCCUGUUUGCUCCCCACGCUGUCGCGCAUCAGUGUCAGCAACUGCCCAGCAGGCCGCCUUCGCCACCGGUGUUCUUCCGGAUCUCUACGCAUUCCACCGCUACACCCGGAAUUCCACCUGCCUCUACAGUGCUCAAGCCCGGGAGUAUCGACGGCCGAUUCAGGGUUGAGCCCUGAACUUUCACCGUUGACUUCCCGCGCCACCUACGCGCCCUUUACGCCCAGUGAUUCCGGACAACGCUCGCACCCUCCGUAUUACCGCGGCGGCUGGCAC
RNAcentral lists this ribosomal RNA (292 nucleotides) under uncultured bacterium. Its description in RNAcentral is "partial 16S ribosomal RNA". The record is from RNAcentral.